GACUCGAGUUAAUAGAGCCCGGCGUAAAGGGUGUUUAAGACUUAAUUCCAAGUACAAUAAAGCUAACCUGUAACUAAGUCGUAAAAAACCACAGUUACAGUGAAAUAAACUACGAAAGUGGCUUUAGUACUCUGAAUACACUAUAGCUAAGGUACAAACUGGGAUUAGAUACCCCACUAUGCUUAGCCCUAAACCUCAGUAACUCAACCAACAAACUUAUUCGCCAGAAUACUACAAGCAACAGCUUGAAACUCAAAGGACCUGGCGGUGCUUUACAUCCGUCUAGAGGAGCCUGUUCUAUAAUCGAUACACCCCGAUAAACCUCACCACCUCUUGCCAU
This 340-nucleotide ribosomal RNA is filed under the name Saguinus midas (Midas tamarin). RNAcentral's name for it is "partial 12S ribosomal RNA". It matches the Rfam family "Bacterial small subunit ribosomal RNA", at positions 533 to 987 of the family's 1533-position model. The record is from RNAcentral. Lineage: Eukaryota; Metazoa; Chordata; Mammalia; Primates; Cebidae.